AACCCAGCUCAGGAUGAACGCUGGCGGCGUGCUUAACACAUGCAAGUCGAACGGACGCUUGGGGAAACUUGAGCGUUAGUGGCAAACGGGUGCGUAACACGUGGGUGACCUACCUCAGAGUGGGGUACAAUGGAUCGAAAGGUUCGCUAAUACCGCAUGUGCUCGACGAUUCAGUUUGUCGAGUAAAGCCGUAAGGCGCUUUGAGAGGGGCCUGCGUCCCAUCAGGUAGUUGGUGAGGUAAUAGCCCACCAAGCCUAUGACGGGUAGCUGUUCUGAGAGGAAGAUCAGCCACACUGGCACUGAGAUACGGGCCAGACUCCUACGGGAGGCAGCAGUGAGGAAUAUUGCGCAAUGGGGGAAACCCUGACGCAGCGACGCCGCGUGGGUGACGAAGGCCUUCGGGUCGUAAAACCCUUUUGGCAGGGAAGAGUGAGGACGGUACCUGUCGAAUAAUCUCGGCA
RNAcentral lists this ribosomal RNA (461 nucleotides) under uncultured bacterium. RNAcentral describes it as "bacterial SSU rRNA". It matches the Rfam family "Bacterial small subunit ribosomal RNA", at positions 16 to 498 of the family's 1533-position model. The record is from RNAcentral.